GAUGAAGAACGCAGCGAACUGCGAUAAGUAAUGUGAAUUGCAGAAUUCAGUGAAUCAUCGAGUCUUUGAACGCACAUUGCGCCCCCUGGCAUUCCGGGGGGCAUGCCUGUCCGAGCGUCAUUGCUGCCCUCAAGCACGGCUUGUGUGUUGGGCUCCGUCCCCCCGGGGACGGGCCCGAAAGGCAGCGGCGGCACCGAGUCCGGUCCUCGAGCGUAUGGGGCUUUGUCACCCGCUCUGUAGGCCCGGCCGGCGCCAGCCGACAACCCAUCAUCCUUUUCAGGUUGACCUCGGAUCAGGUAGGGAUACCCGCUGAACUUAAGCAUAUCAAUAAGCGGAGGA
RNAcentral lists this unclassified non-coding RNA (339 nucleotides) under soil metagenome. Its description in RNAcentral is "partial contains 5.8S ribosomal RNA, internal transcribed spacer 2, and large subunit ribosomal RNA". The stretch from base 1 to 120 matches the Rfam family "5.8S ribosomal RNA", at positions 35 to 154 of the family's 154-position model. The record is from RNAcentral.